CUCUAAAAAAAUCUCUUGCACAAUGAUUCGGCAUAUAUUAUGAAUACUUCUUCUCUUAUGUGGAAAUAUCCUCCAUUCCUCUCAUGUCAUAUGUGGUACUAGGGGUGGCAAAUGGGCGAAUUGCAUUGGAUUUGGACGGGUUAAAUAUGGAUCGAGCAAAAAUGGUUUGGAUUGCAAUCCGCCCAUAUAAAUAUGGGUAAAUAUGGAUUUGGUUAAAU
This 218-nucleotide long non-coding RNA is filed under the name Capsicum annuum. Its description in RNAcentral is "long non-coding RNA (CANN_LNC008730)". The record is from RNAcentral. Lineage: Eukaryota; Viridiplantae; Streptophyta; Magnoliopsida; Solanales; Solanaceae.